CCCGGCCGCCGCCGCUGCCUGUCCCCGCCUCAGGCCUGUGCUGCCGCUGAGGGAUCGUUGUGACACGGUCCCCACCGAGCCCCGGCCCGGCUCCGCCCGGAACGACGGCGGCGGGACCCAACCCCCGGCGGGGCGGGCCCGGGCCGGGCCAUGGCGAGCGGGGCGCGGGGAGCCUGGAGCGAGUGGCCCGUGGAUCACUUCCUGCGCACCGGGCACAUCGCGGCCAGGGACGGGGCCGCCGUGCGCUGGUUCCACGCCGCCAACAGCCGGGCCCGGGCCGCGGAGGCCGCGCGAAGCGACGUGCACAUGGUGGAGGUGGAUGUUGUGCUCCGGGGAGGGGACGGGGACCCCAUCCUGGCUCAUCCCCCGGACACCGACAGCGACAUCACCCUGCAGGAGUGGCUGGCGCAGAUGGGCAGCACCAGCAAAGGCAUCAAGCUCGACUUUAAGAGCCUGGCCGCCGUGGGACCCUCCCUGGAGCUGCUGGGACAGCUGGGGCAGAGCCUGGACAGGCCCGUGUGGCUGAACGGGGACAUCCUGCCCGGGCCCUGCGGGAACCGCGCGCCGCUGGACGCCCGCGCCUUCCUGGGCGCCGUCACCUCCUCGUGCCCCGAUGCCACCCUGUCCCUGGGCUGGACCACGGGCUGCCACCGAGGCCAAGGUAAGGGCAGGGCUCCUGUGCUGCCUUGGCUGCAGCUGGCAGCAGCCCCAGGCCGUGUCCUGCCUGUGGUUGUGGGACCCUGUCCGGGACGGGGCGCUGGGCAGUGGCAGCACAGAUGGGUGAAAUCCACAUCUUCUUGUUCCUAAAAAUAAGCUGGUUUGUGCUUCAGCCCCUUCUCACCUGCUUCUGAGGGACAAGCUCCUUAGCCUCUGUUUCAGGGAGGGCUGUCCCUGCAUCCUGGCAGCAUUGAUCUGAUCAGAGCCCUGGCAUGCGUCCUGAGGAAAAACAGAUCAGCUGGAAAUGUGGAACUUUUUAUCUCUGCUUUUUUUUUUGAUCACCGAAGUCAAAUUUGUGGGUCAGCCUUAUCCCCAACAUUUCAUUUCUCUUGGAAAGUUGAAGUUUUGGAGUAAACUUUCCAAUUUUCAUUAAUAUAGGGUCUUUUUUACAGGCUUCCUCUUGCGAUUCUCAUUAUGAGAAGCAGAGUCCCCUCCAAUAUUAUCUGGGGUCACCAUGUCAGGAUUAUACACUACCCCUAUUGCUACUUACUCAUUAGCAAGAUUUAGUAUUUUGUUGUGUGAUAUACUGCAGUGUUGUUAAAACGUUCAGUGCUUUCUCCCAGGUAUUUUCGGUGCAGGAAAAAAUUGCUGGAAAUUGCAUUGGAAAUACUGGGCAACCUGUGAAAACAAAUUUCAUUUUAUCUCCAGUCCAAAUUUCAGUUUAUGGAAAUACUAAGUGAGGUUCUACUAUAAAAUUUAAGAAAACAAGCUCAUUUGAGUGAUUUCACCUAGAAGUUGCUGCUUGCCUCAGAAAACUUUUUUUAAUAUUUGGUGCGUUUUUACUCUUUGUAGUCACUACAUUCCAUCUGAGUAAUCGAGGAAAAAGUUAUUAACUUGUUACAGGAUUUUAAUAGCCUGUAGAAACAAAAGAAUAGAUAAAUAUAAAUUGAAAUAGCUCCAGUCCUUAUAGAAACCCCAGCAAAGGCACUUUCAGUAUUUUAGAUUGCUUGAUUGUAGCAUUUUUAGGCACAGAAUAUUUUUCUCCACGUGUGUUGAUUGGUGUACAUCUUCAUUCCUAGUGGAUUCACUUAAGUUUUUGUCCUAAUUUUUUCUUAAUGUUUUUAUUUUUAAAGGGUCCCUGACAAUGUUAAACUAGGCCAUAUUGAAGUCAGUGGCAGCAGAGUUUUUUAGAGAAAGGGCAAAGAUAACGUUAAAAACGCCACGUUCUGUAGCUGAGUGUAAAGUAAGUAAGCGCGCAUGUAAAGUAUGGGAAAUAAAGGUUUGCACAGUAAGUUCGUUUUCCGCGUGGAUAUUGCAUUUAUUUUUCAUUUUAUUUAUUGCAUGCAUUUUUCCUCUGGGACAUUUGCUGCCCAGAGCCAUGCAGCAGUUACAGGGUGGAACUGUGUGGUUCUCAGGGAUGCUGGAUGUGCAGGUUUUGUGUCUCCAAGGGACCCCGGGCUGUGUGUGUCCCCGGGGUCUGUGAGCUCUGAAUCUGUGUGUCCCCAGGGCUCUGAGUGUCCCGUGUGUCCCCAGGGCUCUGAGUGUCCCGUGUGUCCCCAGGCUCUGUGGGCUCUGAAUCUGUGUGUGCCCAGGGCUCUGAGUGUCCCGUGUGUCCCCAGGCUCUGUGGGCUCUGAAUCUGUGUGUCCCCAGGGCUCUGAGUGUCCCGUGUGUCCCCAGGGUCUGUGGGCUCUGAGUGUCCUGUGUGUCCCCAGGGUCUGUGGGCUCUGAAUCUGUGUGUCCCCAGGGCUCUGAGUGUCCUCUGUGUGUCCCCAGGGCUCUGAGUGUCCCGUGUGUCCCCAGGCUCUGAGUGUCCCGUGUGUCCCCAGGCUCUGUGAGCACUCAGUGCCCUCGCUGUGUGUCCCCAGGCUCUGUGGGCUCUGAGUGUCCCGUGUGUCCCCAAGGUCUGUGGGCUCUGAGUGUCCUGUGUGUCCCCAGGGCUCUGAGUGUCCCGUGUGUCCCCAGGCUCUGUGUGCUCAGUGCCCUCGCUGUGUGUCCCCAGGCUAC
RNA transcript from Zonotrichia leucophrys gambelii, 2662 nucleotides. It is a transcript of the gene named family with sequence similarity 151 member B, with no coding region annotated. The transcript has 5 exons. The record is from RefSeq and is a predicted model, not a curated record. Lineage: Eukaryota; Metazoa; Chordata; Aves; Passeriformes; Passerellidae.